AAUCAACGCUGGCGGCGUGCCUCAGACAUGCAAGUCGUACGAUUAAAGCUCUCUUCGGAGAGUGUAUAGAGUGGCGCACGGGUGAGUAACACGUAAGUAAUCUACCUUCGAGUGGGGAAUAACAGUCGGAAACGACUGCUAAUACCGCAUAAUGCAGCGGCACCUAAUGGUGACAGUUGUUAAAGCAUUUAUGUGCUUGAAGAGGAGCUUGCGGCAGAUUAGCUAGUUGGUAAGGUAAUGGCUUACCAAGGCAACGAUCUGUAGCCGACCUGAGAGGGUGGUCGGUCACACUGACACUGAA
This 301-nucleotide ribosomal RNA is filed under the name uncultured bacterium. RNAcentral's name for it is "bacterial SSU rRNA". It matches the Rfam family "Bacterial small subunit ribosomal RNA", at positions 32 to 323 of the family's 1533-position model. The record is from RNAcentral.